Plectropomus leopardus (leopard coralgrouper) is the source of this 184-nucleotide non-coding RNA. The record is from RefSeq and is a predicted model, not a curated record. Lineage: Eukaryota; Metazoa; Chordata; Actinopteri; Perciformes; Serranidae.
CAGAGGGGAUGGUCAUCUCCAGCAUGGGUCUUCAGGAACAGAGAGGCACGAUGAGGGAAGAAGGAUGGAUUCUUCAUUCACUAUGGAGACUUAAUUCAACAGGUUUACUUUGGGGGAACUGGCCCUCUGUGAUCUGGGUCAAGCCAGGAUUUUAUCCCAGCCAGAGGCCACCCUACCUGGAAAG